Molecule: unclassified non-coding RNA, 170 nt
Filed under: rhizosphere metagenome
Description: partial ribosomal RNA internal transcribed spacer region
Source: RNAcentral
GUAGGUGAACCUGCGGAAGGAUCAUUAAUGAAUUUUUCUAGCGGACCGGGUCUCGGCUCGGCUUCGCGAAAGAUUUUUGUAUUUAAAACUUUUCCACCCGUGAAAAAAAAAAAUUGUAAAUUGUAAAAUAAAAAAAAAGAUCACUUUCAACAACGGAUCUCUUGGCUCUC